Molecule: ribosomal RNA, 774 nt
Filed under: uncultured Neocallimastigales
Lineage: Eukaryota; Fungi; Neocallimastigomycota; Neocallimastigomycetes; Neocallimastigales
Description: partial large subunit ribosomal RNA
Rfam family: Eukaryotic large subunit ribosomal RNA
Source: RNAcentral
ACACGCAUGACACACUGCAUAUCAAUAAGCGGAGGAAAAGAAACUAACAAGGAUUCCCUUAGUAACGGCGAGUGAAGCGGGAAGAGCUCAAAUUUGAAAUCUUCAAGGUUCUACCUUGACGAAUUGUAGUUUAUAGAAGUGUUUUCUGUUAGUGGAGUGGCAAAAGUUCUUUGGAAUAGGACAUCAUAGAGGGUGAGAAUCCCGUAUUUGGUCAUUCCUCCUAGCGUUGUGAUACACUUUCAACGAGUCGGAUUGUUUGGGAAUGCAGUCCAAAAUGGGUGGUAAAUUUCAUCUAAAGCUAAAUAUUGGCGAGAGACCGAUAGCGAACAAGUACCGUGAGGGAAAGAUGAAAAGAACUUUGAAAAGAGAGUUAAACAGUACGUGAAAUUGUCAAAAGGGAAGCGUUUGACACCAGUGUUGUUUUUCCGAAAAUCAAUUACGAAUGUUUUGUUUUUAAGAAGUUAUGACUUCAUCGGCUUGCUUCUUUCUUUACGAAACUUUCUUAAUGCACUUUUCGGUUAACAAGUCAACAUCAAUUUCUUUUGUUGUAAAAGGGUAUGAGGAAGGUGGCUUUCUUUUCGGAGAAAGUGUUUAUAGCCUUGUGCCUCUGCAAUCGGAGAGAUUGAGGUCUGCAGCGUAGAUCCUUCGGGGUUAGAUACGUUUGUGCUAAGUUAUAGCUUUUCAUAGACAACUUGUUGACUAUGUUUAGUCUUGUAGCUUACUCGCUUACGCUAUUUUACCUACGCUUAGGAUGUUGAGCGCAUGUCUCUCUCU